CUGCGCGGAAGAUGUAACGGGGCUAAACCAUGCACCGAAGCUGCGGCAGCGACACUAUGUGUUGUUGGGUAGGGAGCGUUCUGUAAGCCUGCGAAGGUGUGCUGUGAGGCAUGCUGGAGGUAUCAGAAGUGCGAAUGCUGACAUAAGUAACGAUAAAGCGGGUGAAAAGCCCGCUCGCCGGAAGACCAAGGGUUCCUGUCCAACGUUAAUCGGGCAGGUGAGUCGACCCUAAGGCGAGGCCGAAAGGCGUAGUCGAUGGGAAACAGGUUAAUAUUCCUGUACUUGGUGUUACUGCGAAGGGGG
RNAcentral lists this ribosomal RNA (303 nucleotides) under Klebsiella pneumoniae. Its description in RNAcentral is "bacterial LSU rRNA". It matches the Rfam family "Bacterial large subunit ribosomal RNA", at positions 1159 to 1470 of the family's 2925-position model. The record is from RNAcentral. Lineage: Bacteria; Pseudomonadati; Pseudomonadota; Gammaproteobacteria; Enterobacterales; Enterobacteriaceae.